RNAcentral lists this ribosomal RNA (402 nucleotides) under uncultured bacterium. Its description in RNAcentral is "bacterial SSU rRNA". It matches the Rfam family "Bacterial small subunit ribosomal RNA", at positions 355 to 774 of the family's 1533-position model. The record is from RNAcentral.
UGGGGAAUAUUGGACAAUGGGCGCAAGCCUGAUCCAGCCAUGCCGCGUGAGUGAUGAAGGCCUUAGGGUUGUAAAGCUCUUUUAGCGGGGAAGAUAAUGACGGUACCCGCAGAAAAAGCCCCGGCUAACUUCGUGCCAGCAGCCGCGGUAAUACGAAGGGGGCUAGCGUUGCUCGGAAUUACUGGGCGCAAAGCGCACGUAGGCGGACUCUUAAGUCGGUGGUGAAAUCCUGGAGCUCAACUCCAGAACUGCCUUCGAUACUGGGAGUCUUGAGUUCGGGAGAGGUGAGUGGAACUGCGAGUGUAGAGGUGAAAUUCGUAGAUAUUCGCAAGAACACCAGUGGCGAAGGCGGCUCACUGGCCCGAUACUGACGCUGAGGUGCGAAAGCGUGGGGAGCAAACA